CACUACCCUAAACAACCCCUAUAAAUAACCUCAAAUGUACUACCUUAAACAAACAAACCAUUUUUUUAUCCAAGUAUGGGAGACAGAAAAGAAGCUAGGAGCUAUAGAAAAAGUACCGCAAGGGAAAGCUGAAAAAGCAAUGAAACAACCUAGUUAAGCACCAAAAAGCAGAGUCUUUCUCUCGUACCUUUUGCAUCAUGAUUUAGCUAGAAUAUCUUAAGCAAAAAGUAUUAUAGUUUAAUGCCCCGAAACUAGACGAGCUACUCCAAGACAGUCUGGCCUAUAGGACCACCCCAUCUCUGUGGCAAAAGAGUGGGAAGAGCUUCGAGUAGAGGUGAUAAGCCUACCGAGCCUAGUUAUAGCUGGUUGCCUGAGAACUGAAUAGAAGUUCAGCCCUUUAAGUUCUCCACCUUCGCCUAACCUAAAAUUUUCCUCACAGUUAAAGAACCUUAAAAGAGUUAGUCAAAGGGGGUACAGCCCCUUUGAACAAGACACAACUUUCCAAGGAGGGUAAGAAUCACAACAAACUAAAGACUAGUACCUCUGUGGGCUUAAAGGCAGCCAUCUCCCCAGAAAGCGUUAAAGCUCGAACACUACACACAACUCUUUUAAUAAAGACAACACAAUUCCACCCCCCUAAAACUUAUCAGGCCUUUCCAUAAAAUUAUGGAAGCGUUCAUGCUAAUAUGAGUAAUAAGAGAAGCCCCUCUCCUCGCACAAGUGUAACCCGGAACGAACCCCUCACCGACUAUUAACGGCCCCAAAACAAGGAGGGACCUAAAUUAAAAGUAAACGACAAGAAAAACAUUUAAUACCCCACCGUUAACCCCACACUGGUGUGCUAACCAGGAAAGACUAAAAGAAAGAGAAGGAACUCGGCAAACACAAGUCUCGCCUGUUUACCAAAAACAUCGCCUUUUGAUCAAAAAUAAGAGGUCCCGCCUGCCCUGUGACAUAAGUUUAACGGCCGCGGUAUCCUAACCGUGCAAAGGUAGCGCAAUCACUUGUCUUUUAAAUGAAGACCCGUAUGAAUGGUAUUACGAGGACUUAACUGUCUCCUUUUUCCAGUCAAUGAAAUUGAUCUUCCCGUGCAGAAGCGGGAAUAUUUACAUAAGACGAGAAGACCCUAUGGAGCUUUAGACACCAGAACAGCCCCUGUCAAGCAUCCCCAACAGUAGCGAUGAAACUAAGUGGCCCCUGUCCUAAUGUCUUUGGUUGGGGCGACCUUGGGAAAACAAAAAACUCCCACAUGGACCGGGAGCACCUCUUGCUCCUACAACUUAGAGUCACAACUCAAAGUGACAGAACCUCUGACCAACAAGAUCCGGCAUAGCCGAUCAACGAACCGAGUUACCCUAGGGAUAACAGCGCAAUCCCCUUUUAGAGCCCAUAUCGACAAGGGGGUUUACGACCUCGAUGUUGGAUCAGGACAUCCUAAUGGUGCAGCCGCUAUUAAGGGUUCGUUUGUUCAACGAUUAAAGUCCUACGUGAUCUGAGUUCAGACCGGAGUAAUCCAGGUCAGUUUCUAUCUAUGUCACGACCUUUCCUAGUACGAAAGGACCGAAAAAGAGAGGCCCCUGCCCUAAGCACGCCUCCCCCCCACCUAUUGAGACCAACUCAAACAGGUAAAAGGGCGUGUUCCUGCGGCCCAAGAUAAGGGCUU
RNAcentral lists this ribosomal RNA (1663 nucleotides) under Pelvicachromis pulcher (rainbow krib). Its description in RNAcentral is "16S ribosomal RNA". The stretch from base 76 to 1552 matches the Rfam family "Bacterial large subunit ribosomal RNA". Lineage: Eukaryota; Metazoa; Chordata; Actinopteri; Cichliformes; Cichlidae. The record is from RNAcentral.